This 465-nucleotide ribosomal RNA is filed under the name Vreelandella stevensii. RNAcentral describes it as "partial 16S ribosomal RNA". It matches the Rfam family "Bacterial small subunit ribosomal RNA", at positions 338 to 795 of the family's 1533-position model. Lineage: Bacteria; Pseudomonadati; Pseudomonadota; Gammaproteobacteria; Oceanospirillales; Halomonadaceae. The record is from RNAcentral.
CCUACGGGAGGCAGCAGUGGGGAAUAUUGGACAAUGGGCGAAAGCCUGAUCCAGCCAUGCCGCGUGUGUGAAGAAGGCCUUCGGGUUGUAAAGCACUUUCAGUGGGGAAGAAAGCCUUGGGGCUAAUACCCUCGAGGAAGGACAUCACCCACAGAAGAAGCACCGGCUAACUCCGUGCCAGCAGCCGCGGUAAUACGGAGGGUGCGAGCGUUAAUCGGAAUUACUGGGCGUAAAGCGCGCGUAGGCGGUCUGAUAAGCCGGUUGUGAAAGCCCCGGGCUCAACCUGGGAACGGCAUCCGGAACUGUCAGGCUAGAGUGCAGGAGAGGAAGGUAGAAUUCCCGGUGUAGCGGUGAAAUGCGUAGAGAUCGGGAGGAAUACCAGUGGCGAAGGCGACCUUCUGGACUGACACUGACGCUGAGGUGCGAAAGCGUGGGUAGCAAACAGGAUUAGAUACCCUGGUAGUC